UAAGGAAUAUUGGUCAAUGGAGGGAACUCUGAACCAGCCAUGCCGCGUGAAGGAUGACGGCCCUCUGGGUUGUAAACUUCUUUUGGAUGGGGCGAAAAAACGGGAUUUAUCCUGGACUGACGGUACCAUCAGAAUAAGCACCGGCUAACUCCGUGCCAGCAGCCGCGGUAAUACGGAGGGUGCAAGCGUUAUCCGGAAUCACUGGGUUUAAAGGGUGCGUAGGCGGUUGUAAUAAGUCAGGGGUGAAAGCACGCAGCUUAACUGUGUAAUUGCCUUUGAUACUGUACGGCUUGAAUAGGGUUGAGGUUGGCGGAAUGUGACAUGUAGCGGUGAAAUGCAUAGAUAUGUCAAUGAACACCGAUUGCGAAGGCAGCUGACUGGGCCUANAUUGACGCUGAGGCA
RNAcentral lists this ribosomal RNA (402 nucleotides) under uncultured bacterium. RNAcentral's name for it is "bacterial SSU rRNA". It matches the Rfam family "Bacterial small subunit ribosomal RNA", at positions 355 to 753 of the family's 1533-position model. The record is from RNAcentral.